Molecule: ribosomal RNA, 370 nt
Filed under: uncultured organism
Description: bacterial SSU rRNA
Rfam family: Bacterial small subunit ribosomal RNA
Source: RNAcentral
CGUAGGGUGCGAGCGUUAAUCGGAAUUACUGGGCGUAAAGCGUGCGCAGGCGGUUAUGUAAGACAGAUGUGAAAUCCCCGGGCUCAACCUGGGACCUGCAUUUGUGACUGCAUAGCUAGAGUACGGUAGAGGGGGAUGGAAUUCCGCGUGUAGCAGUGAAAUGCGUAGAUAUGCGGAGGAACACCGAUGGCGAAGGCAAUCCCCUGGACCUGUACUGACGCUCAUGCACGAAAGCGUGGGGAGCAAACAGGAUUAGAUACCCUGGUAGUCCACGCCCUAAACGAUGUCAACUGGUUGUUGGGUCUUCACUGACUCGGUAACGAAGCUAACGCGUGAAGUUGACCGCCUGGGGAGUACGGCCGCAAGGUUG